AUGCAGUCGAACGAACUCUGGUAUUGAUUGGUGCUUGCAUCAUGAUUUACAUUUGAGUGAAUGGCGAACUGGUGAGUAACACGUGGGAAACCUGCCCAGAAGCGGGGGAUAACACCUGGAAACAGAUGCUAAUACCGCAUAACAACUUGGACCGCAUGGUCCGAGUUUGAAAGAUGGCUUCGGCUAUCACUUUUGGAUGGUCCCGCGGCGUAUUAGCUAGAUGGUGGGGUAACGGCUCACCAUGGCAAUGAUACGUAGCCGACCUGAGAGGGUAAUCGGCCACAUUGGGACUGAGACACGGCCCAAACUCCUACGGGAGGCAGCAGUAGGGAAUCUUCCACAAUGGACGAAAGUCUGAUGGAGCAACGCCGCGUGAGUGAAGAAGGGUUUCGGCUCGUAAAACUCUGUUGUUAAAGAAGAACAUAUCUGAGAGUAACUGUUCAGGUAUUGACGGUAUUUAACCAGAAAGCCACGGCUAACUACGUGCCAGCAGCCGCGGUAAUACGUAGGUGGCAAGCGUUGUCCGGAUUUAUUGGGCGUAAAGCGAGCGCAGGGGGUUUUUUAAGUCUGAUGUGAAAGCCUUCGGCUCAAACGGAAGAAGUGCAUCGGAAACUGGGAAACUUGAGUGCCAGAAAAGGACAGUGGGCAUC
Molecule: ribosomal RNA, 650 nt
Filed under: Lactiplantibacillus plantarum
Lineage: Bacteria; Bacillati; Bacillota; Bacilli; Lactobacillales; Lactobacillaceae
Description: bacterial SSU rRNA
Rfam family: Bacterial small subunit ribosomal RNA
Source: RNAcentral